GCGUGAGUGAUGAAGGCCCUAGGGUUGUAAAGCUCUUUCACCGGUGAAGAUAAUGACGGUAGCCGGAGAAGAAGCCCCGGCUAACUUCGUGCCAGCAGCCGCGGUAAUACGAAGGGGGCUAGCGUUGUUCGGAAUUACUGGGCGUAAAGCGCACGUAGGCGGAUAUUUAAGUCAGGGGUGAAAUCCCGGGGCUCAACCCCGGAACUGCCCUUGAUACUGGAUAUCUUGAGUUCGAGAGAGGUGAGUGGAAUUCCGAGUGUAGAGGUGAAAUUCGU
RNAcentral lists this ribosomal RNA (275 nucleotides) under uncultured bacterium. RNAcentral's name for it is "partial 16S ribosomal RNA". It matches the Rfam family "Bacterial small subunit ribosomal RNA", at positions 399 to 691 of the family's 1533-position model. The record is from RNAcentral.